CCUACGGGAGGCAGCAGUGGGGAAUAUUGCACAAUGGGGGAAACCCUGAUGCAGCAACGCCGCGUGAAGGAAGACGGUUUUCGGAUUGUAAACUUCUGUUCUUAGUGAAGAAUAAUGACGGUAGCUAAGGAGCAAGCCACGGCUAACUACGUGCCAGCAGCCGCGGUAAUACGUAGGUGGCAAGCGUUGUCCGGAAUUACUGGGUGUAAAGGGCGUGUAGGCGGGAGCGCAAGUCAGAUGUGAAAACUCAGGGCUCAACCCUGAGCCUGCAUUUGAAACUGUGUUUCUUGAGUGCUGGAGAGGCAAUCGGAAUUCCGUGUGUAGCGGUGAAAUGCGUAGAUAUACGGAGGAACACCAGUGGCGAAGGCGGAUUGCUGGACAGUAACUGACGCUGAGGCGCGAAAGCGUGGGGAGCAAACAGGAUUAGAUACCCUUGUAGUC
This 441-nucleotide ribosomal RNA is filed under the name uncultured bacterium. Its description in RNAcentral is "partial 16S ribosomal RNA". It matches the Rfam family "Bacterial small subunit ribosomal RNA", at positions 338 to 795 of the family's 1533-position model. The record is from RNAcentral.